Molecule: ribosomal RNA, 253 nt
Filed under: uncultured bacterium
Lineage: Bacteria
Description: partial 16S ribosomal RNA
Rfam family: Bacterial small subunit ribosomal RNA
Source: RNAcentral
UACGUAGGGGGCAAGCGUUGUCCGGAAUCAUUGGGCGUAAAGAGCGCGUAGGCGGUCCGGUAAGUCCGCUCUGAAAGUCCGGGGCUCAACCCCGGGAGGCGGGCGGAUACUGUCGGGCUAGAGUCCGGAAGAGGCGAGUGGAAUUCCUGGUGUAGCGGUGAAAUGCGCAGAUAUCAGGAGGAACACCAAUGGCGAAGGCAGCUCGCUGGGACGGUACUGACGCUGAGACGCGAAAGCCAGGGGAGCGAACGGG